GAUGAACGCUGGCGGCGUGCCUAAUACAUGCAAGUCGAGCGAACAGACGAGGAGCUUGCUCCACUGACGUUAGCGGCGGACGGGUGAGUAACACGUGGAUAACCUACCUAUAAGACUGGGAUAACUUCGGGAAACCGGAGCUAAUACCGGAUAAUAUAUUUAACCGCAUGGUUCAAUAGUGAAAGACGGUUUUGCUGUCACUUAUAGAUGGAUCCGCGCCGCAUUAGCUAGUUGGUAAGGUAACGGCUUACCAAGGCAACGAUGCGUAGCCGACCGGAGAGGGUGAUCGGCCACACUGGAACUGAGACACGGUCCAGACUCCUACGGGAGGCAGCAGUAGGGAAUCUUCCGCAAUGGGCGAAAGCUUGACGGAGCAACGCCGCGUGAGUGAUGAAGGUCUUCGGAUCGUAAAACUCUGUUAUUAGGGAAGAACAAAUGUGUAAGUAAAUAUGCACGUCUUGACGGUACCUAAUCAGAAAGCCACGGCUAACUACGUG
Molecule: ribosomal RNA, 497 nt
Filed under: uncultured bacterium
Lineage: Bacteria
Description: partial 16S ribosomal RNA
Rfam family: Bacterial small subunit ribosomal RNA
Source: RNAcentral